Molecule: long non-coding RNA, 740 nt
Organism: Danio aesculapii
Lineage: Eukaryota; Metazoa; Chordata; Actinopteri; Cypriniformes; Danionidae
Exons: 3
Source: RefSeq, a predicted model, not a curated record
CGAAAUAAAUAUAUACCAUGUUAAUAGUUUAUUAUUAAAUCCUGCUUUAAUGGAAGUGCAGUUCCUGCUAGUUCGCCGGUGGCGCUAUUGCGCACAGAGUCUGUGUAGACUGCAGCAGAGUUAGGGAGAACUGCUGUGGGUGAGUCGGGUUAUGUGUUAGCUCCACACUAAAAUAUAAAAAUAUCAUUUAAAUGAUUGAUUGGAUGCAGCUUUAAAAGUCUAGCACACUUUAUAUACAUUUAGUGAUCGAUAGAGUGCGUUUUCUUUUCAUAUUUGUUUGAUUUUGAUACUUUUAAUCUCAUCUUGAUGUUUUCCCCAUGUGCUUACAGCAAGUGCUAAUGAAGUAUAUGUGUUUUAGAUGUGGAUGCUAAAGUUAAACCGUGUUGAUCUCACUGUUACUGCUCUGUGUGCAGGGAAUCCAGCUUCCUCCUCAGGGACUUUUUCCUCUUCUGGCCAUCUGGAGAACAGCAGAAGACAAAUGAGAACACUGGAAAACAGCAGACAAUCACACCAGCCACACUCCUGGAGGACUCCGAAAACAUGGAUGGUGAUCUGGCAUCCCAGGUCGAAGUCUUUACUCAGUCUGGCGAGCGACACCUCCUGCAGCCGCACUCUCUCCAGCUCUGACAGACUCUGGAUGGACACCGACUGCAUCAGGAGAUUCUGAGCGGACGCUUUCCUACAGCUGAACUCUCCCUGCAGACAAAACAACAACAACAACAACACACAGUCAAAUAAAG